AACGAACGCUGGCGGCAUGCCUAACACAUGCAAGUCGAACGAGACCUUCGGGUCUAGUGGCGCACGGGUGCGUAACGCGUGGGAACCUGCCCUUAGGUUCGGAAUAACUCCCCGAAAGGGGUGCUAAUACCGGAUAAUGUCUUCGGACCAAAGAUUUAUCGCCUUUGGAUGGGCCCGCGUUGGAUUAGCUAGUUGGUAGGGUAAAAGCCUACCAAGGCGACGAUCCAUAGCUGGUCUGAGAGGAUGAUCAGCCACACUGGGACUGAGACACGGCCCAGACUCCUGCGGGAGGCAGCAGUGGGGAAUAUUGGACAAUGGGCGAAAGCCUGAUCCAGCAGUGCCGCGUGAGUGAUGAAGGCCUUAGGGUUGUAAAGCUCUUUUACCCGGGAUGAUAAUGACAGUACCGGGAGAAUAAGCUCCGGCUAACUCCGU
RNAcentral lists this ribosomal RNA (432 nucleotides) under uncultured bacterium. RNAcentral's name for it is "partial 16S ribosomal RNA". It matches the Rfam family "Bacterial small subunit ribosomal RNA", at positions 29 to 506 of the family's 1533-position model. The record is from RNAcentral.